UGAGGAAGCCGUAGCAAUGGAAAGGAACGGAUGGGCUGACAGUAAUACUUCGAUAAUAUAGAUUACCGUGUCAGCUGUGCAACUCGUGGAAAUAUAAAGUUUCGUCGUGCAGCGUCUCUCCGGGAUCGACAAAGUCGAUAUAAUAUAGGCUGUAGAGGAAUACCGAUUUAUCAUCGAAGACGAUUAGAGAAAUUUUUCGUUGAAGAUACGACAUGGUGAGACGUUGAUUGUUUUCUCAGGAAUUAGAGAAAUUCUCUGUUGAAAGAUAGGUAAGAUAUUUGGAAAUAAUAAUCACCGUAGAAACUAGGAAAAUUCUCGCAUAUUUCAUGCGAGUAAGGAUUAAUUUUUAAAUGAAAGAACAGGGAAGUUAUAUGGUUUGUGUUUUGGUUUCUGACAAUGUAAAUCUAAGCAGAAAUUUGAAAUAUCGAGUUGAAACGAACGAAAGGAAUUUGGUGGUGAGCAGUACCAAAAAUUAAAAACGAAUGAAGAAAAGAAGAUGUUGAAUUAAGAAGAAAAGAACUAUCGUUACGAAGACCUCAACCACUUAACUAGGUCUCUCGAAAAAUAACUUUAUGUACAGAUAUCGAGAAACAUGUGCACGAACAAGGAAACUCGAGGAAUGCGAACCAACUCCGUUGAAACAUCUAUCCAACGCUAUCCGCCUUUUUCGUUCACGUUCCCAAGAAAAACCAAUUUAACGGUAGCCAAAAGCUUCCCGAAACGCGAGAUCUAAUAUCACCGAGCACAUCGUCUCGAAACAAUUUUCCACGACUGGCCACGUUCUUAUCCGGACCAAACGAAACUUUUCCAACAACCAGAUCGAUCGACCGAUGAGUCCGAUGUAAAAAUUGCCAACACCGGUGAAUAUCCACAUUGGAAUAGCGUACACGAUCGGUAAGUUCUAUCGAUUCUGGUCUCUAUGUUUAGGACUCGCAAUUUCCAUUAAACCGCGGUACAAGCAGGAAAAAUCGGAAGGACUAUGAUUUACGAUAAUCGUGUUCAUCCGGUGACGCGUGCGCGUAUUCCACGCGAACGCAAAAACGGAUCCCUGAUUGCGAUCGUGAUUGAUAACGGCUAUAGAGCGAGGGAUGUAUGCUCUACAGGUGUGUCGACGGUCGUUAAGGCGCGUCUAAUUGAAUGUACGCUUCAAUUAGGGCUUGACAAUGGUCGCUGGUCAGGCACGCUCUUCACUUUGCCGAAUGCGGGAUUAUACGCGCCGAAAAUUCCGAGAAUCUCCUCUGUUGUCGAGAUACGAAUCUCCCUCUCUCUUUCUCUCUCUCUCUCUCUCUCUCUCUUUCUGCACUCUGAAUCUCCUUUUAUUUAUAAGCGGAACAGCAAUUUUGGGCUCGAGAAUCGCGAGACGUUCGUGUUAUUUACGAAGAAUCGUGAAUUUUUCCAGUGCUUCGGCAUUCUUUGCAACUUGCGUCUCUUGGAUCGAGGACUUGGAUACAAAUAAAUAUGCAUACAACGUAGUUGACAGAAGAGACGCAAGUUUAGAAGAUUUUUCAAACAGUAAGAUAGAACGCUUCUUAGACAAAAGACAAAUGCGUCGAUUAUUGCGUUCCUAUUUAACUCUCUUCCAACGUAGAUUACUCUUACCACGUACGUCGACAAUGAUAAAACGUUUCAGUUCGAAUUGAGAAUUAAGGAUCGCGGUGCGACAGCGGAUCUUCCAGAUACGUGUGUUCGAUAUGCUGGAAUUUUUCUAAUCGGGGGCUUCGAUCAGCAACAAAUAGGAUGCUGGAACUCGUUCGAGAUUUAUGGGAACACUUGGAAGUGACGGGUUUUUAAAUUACGACUCUCUGUUUAACGUUCCACGUUGCUUUGCUUCGCGGAAUAGAGAAAUUAAGGUAUUUAAAUCAGCUACUAUAAUAUUCUAUGUAAAAUUCUUAAAAUUCUACCGCGCGAGCUAGUAAUUUAAAGAAACGAAACGGUCCCAAGUUACGAAAAGUCGUAAACGUUUGCGCAAGACGAGAGGAACGUUUUCCCAGAAUGCUCGGAAAGGUCGUCCGAGAACGUCACCGAUGCCCGAAAAGUCAGUUUCUCGGAAACCGAGGGGAAUAGCUAUCAACGUCGUUCGUCGACACGGCACUCGUACGACUGCAUUCGUGACCUCGUGUGCUUACGUCACGUAGAUAUCACGUACUGCGCUUUCGUGGUGAAAACUGCCGUAUUCCGCGAAACGCUUUGGAUUUGCUCCGUCGUUUCCACAAAUUCCACGCUCCGAGCUUUAAACCGAGGCGACUGGAACUUUGACAACCGCCGGAGACGUUUAACGGUACCACGCUGGGAAAAAAUGCCGUUUCAAGUCAUAUGCAGCAUACGAAAGUAUACGAGACCAUUUGAAAACCUAUCGUAGAAAAUUUUUACCUAUAUAUGUGUUGUACGACAUGUAUAAAAUAUUUUGGACAAAAUUUCGUUAGAGGAAUUUCGAUUUCAUUCUCAUCGCAAUGAGACACGAACACGUGUGAUUACGUUGGUCGAAAAUAUAUAUAUAUAUCGUAAUACCUAUAUCGUUUCGUUGUUUAGAAAUAUAUUUAACAAACUUUAUAUGGGAAGUAGUAACAGCGAGAUAUUAUAAAUAUUGAUAAAAAUCUAGCAGAGUGUCGUAAUUUCGUAACAAAAAUACGAAGCUAGUUUAAACCCUCUUUUUAAAGGGAGCAGUAUAUAUAAAGAAUAUGUGAUUAAAAAUUAGAAUUGUCAACUACAUCGUAAAAGAAGGAAAAAUAUCUUCUACAUUUCAAACCAAUAUUCUAAAAAAUAUGUUUCCUAUACUUGCGUUAUCGUUCCAGCAAACCAACAAAACCAACAAAACGUAUACAUUCAAUUUUUAAUCGAAUUCGCGUAUAAUUUAAGAAUACACAGAAAUUCCACAAUUACACACGUAUACAUUAUCUUUCUAAGAUAUUUUGAAAUAUUUUCCGUAAUAUUAUCAACUUCGGUUAAUAUCUUCGAAUGUAACUAAAAAUAAAAAAAGGUACAAAAUAAUUGCGUCCUUUCCUGACCUCGAUAAAUCCAACCUCGUGGAGAUUAAAGUACGGAAAAACGGUAAGUACACGGAAUUUACGAUAUACUCGAGCGACACGUAUUACAGCAACCGAGGUGAAAAAUAUAAAACGAACGGUAAAGGUUUCGGAUAGAUAACGUGAAAUAUAUUAAAACGGUAAUCGCGGUAGAUAGAACGUCGUCUUAUUUGCACGAAUGCCGAUAAGCGACCACCGGAAUUCUGUGUUUUCGAUACCAAACUAAUUCGCUCACCUUAAACAAGCGACGUUAUAAAUGAUCGUAGCUAAUGGAAGUUGGAAAAUUUCACACGUUCAAUGAGAAUUUAGUUGUAUUUUAUCUUUAGCUAGAAUUCUAUUAACACGUUUUGUAUAUCUUAUCUGUAGCACUGAAUUAUUGCCGCUUCUUUCCGCUCGAUAUAUUCUAAUCUGUACACUGGUAUGCAAAAUUAAAGGAACACGCAAUUUUCGUCGAAUAAUUGUUAUAAUCUUGACAAACAAGAAAACUAUACAGCGAUCAUUCUGGGCUCGUUUUGAAGCGUAAAGCCGCUACUUUCGGAAUUCGUAGCAGUUUAUACCGGAACGAAGAAGCAUCUUCGCUUUCCCACUCUCCCACGCGAUGCAGGAACCUCUAUGUGAAAAACUGUUACGAAUUGUGAAAGUAGCAGCUUUACGCUUCAAAACGAGCUCAGAAUGAUCGCUGUAUGUUUUUUUGUUACGAGAUUAUAACGAACAGUUUAGACGUCAGCAAUUAAUUAUUCGACGAAAAUUGAGUGUUCCUUUGAUUUCGUGAUGAUUGAGUGUUCUUUCGAUUGAAAUAGAAUUGUUUAAACGUUUUCUCAUACAUUUAGUAGUUUACGUUGUUAUUGCGGCACUAAAAAUAGCGAGUACUUUGCGAAUGUAAUUGUUUAUCUGGAUAAAGUGUUUCAAUUAAUUCCGACAUCACCGGUCAUCAAUGAUGUCACGAACGAGUCUAGUGCCGGUCAACCACCGUGGCUAUGUUGAUGUUCACCUACUGCCAUCCAUUCGUUGAACAAAUAUCUAUCACGUAAUUCAUUUCCUACAUACAUUUAUCAUACAUAGUUUUGUCUUUCGAGUAGCUCGUAAUUCGCCUUCUUAUCCUUUACAAUACAAUUU
This is a long non-coding RNA of Bombus huntii, 4139 nucleotides long. RefSeq lists it as uncharacterized. The record is from RefSeq and is a predicted model, not a curated record. The transcript has 3 exons. Lineage: Eukaryota; Metazoa; Arthropoda; Insecta; Hymenoptera; Apidae.